Molecule: ribosomal RNA, 468 nt
Filed under: uncultured bacterium
Lineage: Bacteria
Description: partial 16S ribosomal RNA
Rfam family: Bacterial small subunit ribosomal RNA
Source: RNAcentral
GAUGAACGCUGGCGGCGUGCUUAACACAUGCAAGUCGAACGGUGAAGGCGGAGCUUGCUCUGCUGGAUCAGUGGCGAACGGGUGAGUAACACGUGAGCAAUCUGCCCCUGACUCUGGGAUAAGCGCUGGAAACGGCGUCUAAUACUGGAUACGAGCUGCGAAGGCAUCUUCAGCAGCUGGAAAGAACUUCGGUCAGGGAUGAGCUCGCGGCCUAUCAGCUUGUUGGUGAGGUAACGGCUCACCAAGGCGUCGACGGGUAGCCGGCCUGAGAGGGUGACCGGCCACACUGGGACUGAGACACGGCCCAGACUCCUACGGGAGGCAGCAGUGGGAAAUAUUGCACAAUGGGCGAAAGCCUGAUGCAGCAACGCCGCGUGAGGGACGACGGCCUUCGGGUUGUAAACCUCUUUUAGCAGGGAAGAAGCGAAAGUGACGGUACCUGCAGAAAAAGCGCCGGCUAACUACGUG